GGGUUUCACCAGAAGUAGGUAGCCUAACCGCAAGGAGGGCGCUUACCACGGUARGRUCAGCGACUGGGGUGAAGUCGUAACAAGGUAGCYGUAGGUGAACCUGCAGAAGGAUCA
Molecule: ribosomal RNA, 114 nt
Filed under: uncultured eukaryote
Lineage: Eukaryota
Description: partial small subunit ribosomal RNA
Source: RNAcentral